ACUACGGGGGGCAGCAGUGAGGAAUAUUGGUCAAUGGGCGGAAGCCUGAACCAGCCAAGUAGCGUGCAGGAUGACGGCCCUACGGGUUGUAAACUGCUUUUAUACGGGAAUAACGCGCCUUACGUGUAGGGCUUUGCAUGUACCGUAUGAAUAAGGACCGGCUAAUUCCGUGCCCGCAGCCGCGGUAAUACGGAAGGUCCGGGCGUUAUCCGGCUUUCUGGGGUUGAACGGGAGCGUCGGCCGCAUGUCAAGCGUGCUGUGACAUGUCCGGGCUCCACCCGGGCCUUGCAGCGCGAACUGGCGUGCUUGAGUCCGCGGAAAGCAGGCGGAAUUCGUCGUGUAGCGGUGAAAUGCUUAGAUAUGACGAAGAACCCCGAUUGCGAAGGCAGCUUGCUGCAGCGGAACUGACGCUGAUGCUCGAAAGCGCGGGUAUCGAACAGGAUUAGAUACCCGUGUAGUC
RNAcentral lists this ribosomal RNA (460 nucleotides) under uncultured bacterium. Its description in RNAcentral is "partial 16S ribosomal RNA". It matches the Rfam family "Bacterial small subunit ribosomal RNA", at positions 338 to 795 of the family's 1533-position model. The record is from RNAcentral.